Mangifera indica (mango) is the source of this 2152-nucleotide long non-coding RNA. RefSeq lists it as uncharacterized. The transcript is spliced from 4 exons. The record is from RefSeq and is a predicted model, not a curated record. Lineage: Eukaryota; Viridiplantae; Streptophyta; Magnoliopsida; Sapindales; Anacardiaceae.
CAAUCCACUCCAACUGGAUCGCCGCGAAAUUCGAAAAGCUUCUCCAAUUCCUAGUGAAUUAGUCAGGGUUAAACACCAUUGGCAAUGAAAAGUAGAAGUGAGAACCAAAAGAAGAAGAAGAAUAUAUUCGAAAAUGGAGUUCCAGUGAAACUCUUGAGAUGGCAUUACGGCCACGCUCAAUUUAGGGAUAAACAGCGAGGUGUUGGAUAUCUUUCAUGGAUGUUUUUAAAAGUUUAGGUAAACCAAGUGAUGGCAUUGAAGGAGAAAGGAAUAGCUGCUGAAUUAUUUCACUGCUUUUUUCAAAAUUUCAGGCACAUUGCAUCUCAUCGCUGGCCAUGAUUUCAGGCCUGUUUACCAUAAGCUCUCAUAUUUGAGGAACUGCUUUCCAGAUGUACCGUUAUUGGCAUUGACAGCAACUGCUGCUCCCAAGUGAGUCAGGUUAAUCCGCCCUGUGGAAAAGAACUGACUUCAUUACUAAAUUAUAUUAUCUUUAAAGUUUGAACUUUCCCCAUUCAUCGAAGCAUUUUUGAGUAUUUUUCUCUCUUCUUCUUUUAAGUUGAAUAUGGCAAUCUUUAUAACUGGCCAAGAUCUUUUGGAUGAUGCCUAUGAAGAUUUGUCUAAUGCACUCAAGUCUAUUGGAGAUACAUGUGCAAUUGUAUGCUGUCUCAAACACACAACUUGUGAUGAGUUGUCCCGUCAUCUUUCCAAAAGCUGCAUUUCUUGUGCUGGUAACCAAAUAUUUUGCAACCCUUUUCUUGUUUCCACAGAAAGCUUUAAUUUUUAUGGACAUAACGUGAAGUCUUCUCUUUUUUCUGGUGGAUUUUCUUCAUAUCAUGAAGGCUUGAGUAAUAAAUUGUAUUAGACGAUUGGAUUUCUUCCAACACACAAGUUGUUGUGGCUACAGUUGCUCUUGGGUAUGGUUGAAUUUUGAAAGUCCACGUUUUUCCUGUGCUCAUUUAUCUCAAACUCCUUCGAAAUACCUAAAAUAGCUUGCUCUCAGGUUCAGAGUUAUGUUUGGUGUCAUAAACAUGAACUUAUCUUCUAUACAAAAGUUCUCUGUUAGGAAAUUGGUUUAUAUGCCAGUUAUUGUAUUUAUUUUAAUGUAGAACCCUUGUUUUCAGGUGAUUUAUGCUGCACUGUUUAGUUCUUUUUCAUAUUUCGGCACCUGGUGAUGACAUGAACUCAAAAUAGUGUGACUUAGGACUUAGCACAAUUAUUGAGCUAGUGCUGUUCCUUCAGGAUGGUAUCUGAUAGACCGCCUGUCACCAAUACUUAUAAAAGAAGAGGCAAGAUAGGAAAUUCACUUCCAGCUCAAUUACAGCCAUGGCAGUUGGGAAUUCUAACAAAUUUACCUGGAUAACUCAGGCAAAACAACCUCAUCUACUGGGAUAAACCAAGCAAAUCACUCUCAUCUGGAUUACCCAAACAAAUGAGAUAAGCAAGCUUUGAAUGAGAGGCUGCUGCUUUAAAAAGGGCAACAAGCUAAGCAGAAAGGCAUCCAGGAAGAAACACAAAUUCAGGGGUUUAGGGGGCUUAGGCCUAGGGGGAACUGGCAUGGUUGUAGCCAAGUUCCAUUGGUAUUUCGGUUAUAAUUCAUUUGGUAUUUCAGUAGCAUUCAUUUCAGAAUAAACACUGAACAUUUGAGCUGUAUUUCAUUGAUUAUCAAUAGAAGUCAUUUACAUUGAAUUGAGUUGUGUUCCUUUGAAUUACAUUACAUUGCAAUUGCUAUUACAACACAGAAGACACAUUCUGUUUACACUAAACUUGGCAGGCCGACUUCGUGGAGACUGGAAAUUGAAGCAUCAUCUGCAGAAACAGAACAGGAAUUCAUCUUAAGCAAGGCUGAGAGCAAGAAGUUGCAGCCCUCGAGCUCUCACAAAAGGUUGUCAAAAGAAUUGAUGUCCAACUUCAAUCAGGUGAUCUUUUGUAAUUUCCCCGUGUGAGCUUUCUGUGGUGUUGAUUUCUUAGAAAAUCUGACCACUACACAAUACAGAAUGCAAGCCUACUUAUUUUCAUCUUAUAAACUAGGUAUCUACAUCACCAGGAAAAAAAUCAUGUGCUGCUUGCAAACCUAGUUGCCAAGUUACUGGAAGAGCUACCUACUUGUGCUUUAUUGGCAAAAAAUUGUUUCUUCUAAUUUUUCAUAAGGUAA